This 666-nucleotide ribosomal RNA is filed under the name Penicillium brevicompactum. Its description in RNAcentral is "partial large subunit ribosomal RNA". It matches the Rfam family "Eukaryotic large subunit ribosomal RNA", at positions 144 to 826 of the family's 3401-position model. Lineage: Eukaryota; Fungi; Ascomycota; Eurotiomycetes; Eurotiales; Aspergillaceae. The record is from RNAcentral.
UUGUAAUUGCAGAGGAUGCUUCGGGAGCGGUCCCCAUCUAAGUGCCCUGGAACGGGACGUCAUAGAGGGUGAGAAUCCCGUAUGGGAUGGGGUGUCCGCGCCCGUGUGAAGCUCCUUCGACGAGUCGAGUUGUUUGGGAAUGCAGCUCUAAAUGGGUGGUAAAUUUCAUCUAAAGCUAAAUAUUGGCCGGAGACCGAUAGCGCACAAGUAGAGUGAUCGAAAGAUGAAAAGCACUUUGAAAAGAGAGUUAAAAAGCACGUGAAAUUGUUGAAAGGGAAGCGCUUGCGACCAGACUCGCUCGCGGGGUUCAGCCGGCAUUCGUGCCGGUGUACUUCCCCGCGAGCGGGCCAGCGUCGGUUUGGGCGGUCGGUCAAAGGCCUCUGGAAGGUAACGCCCCCUCGGGGGCGUCUUAUAGCCAGGGGUGCAAUGCGGCCUGCCCGGACCGAGGAACGCGCUUCGGCUCGGACGCUGGCAUAAUGGUCGUAAGCGACCCGUCUUGAAACACGGACCAAGGAGUCUAACAUCUACGCGAGUGUUCGGGUGUCAAACCCGUGCGCGAAGUGAAAGCGAACGGAGGUGGGAACCCGCAAGGGUGCACCAUCGACCGAUCCUGAAGUCUUCGGAUGGAUUUGAGUAAGAGCGUAGCUGUUGGGACCCGAAAGAUGG